AUUGAACGCUGGCGGCAGGCCUAACACAUGCAAGUCGAGCGGAUGAAGGGAGCUUGCUCCUGGAUUCAGCGGCGGACGGGUGAGUAAUGCCUAGGAAUCUGCCUGGUAGUGGGGGAUAACGUCCGGAAACGGGCGCUAAUACCGCAUACGUCCUGAGGGAGAAAGUGGGGGAUCUUCGGACCUCACGCUAUCAGAUGAGCCUAGGUCGGAUUAGCUAGUUGGUGGGGUAAAGGCCUACCAAGGCGACGAUCCGUAACUGGUCUGAGAGGAUGAUCAGUCACACUGGAACUGAGACACGGUCCAGACUCCUACGGGAGGCAGCAGUGGGGAAUAUUGGACAAAGGGCGAAAGCCUGAUCCAGCCAUGCCGCGUGUGUGAAGAAGGUCUUCGGAUUGUAAAGCACUUUAAGUUGGGAGGAAGAGCAGUAAGUUAAUACCUUGCUGUUUUGACGGUACCAACAGAAUAAGCACCGGCUAACUUCGUG
This 484-nucleotide ribosomal RNA is filed under the name uncultured bacterium. RNAcentral describes it as "partial 16S ribosomal RNA". It matches the Rfam family "Bacterial small subunit ribosomal RNA", at positions 30 to 507 of the family's 1533-position model. The record is from RNAcentral.